ACUCCUACGGGAGGCAGCAGUGGGGAAUAUUGGGCAAUGGAGGAAACUCUGACCCAGCGACGCCGCGUGAGGGAUGAAGGCCUUCGGGUUGUAAACCUCUUUCAGUAGGGAAGAAGCGAAAGUGACGGUACCUACAGAAGAAGCACCGGCUAACUAUGUGCCAGCAGCCGCGGUAAUA
This 178-nucleotide ribosomal RNA is filed under the name uncultured freshwater bacterium. RNAcentral's name for it is "partial 16S ribosomal RNA". It matches the Rfam family "Bacterial small subunit ribosomal RNA", at positions 335 to 525 of the family's 1533-position model. The record is from RNAcentral.